This 1886-nucleotide long non-coding RNA is filed under the name Lupinus angustifolius (narrow-leaved blue lupine). Its description in RNAcentral is "long non-coding RNA (LANG_LNC000282)". The record is from RNAcentral. Lineage: Eukaryota; Viridiplantae; Streptophyta; Magnoliopsida; Fabales; Fabaceae.
AUGAUUGUAUCUUUUUGUCACUUCUAUACUAUUCAUGCAAAGUUCUUCCAACGUACUAAUAUUUGUUACAAACGUUUCAUAAUCAAUACAAAUACCAAUUCGUAACAAUUGAAAGAAAACGGCUCCAAAAGAAAUAUAUCAUAAACUCCUUGAAAAUGUUACAAUACAUUUAAGAUUUUGCCAACCAAAGAUUUGAUUAUGGCAAGACAGGUGUGGUGGUGUGCAUCAAACCCAGGCUUCGAGAUUCUUCAAAACUUCUGGUCUUUCAUCUAGGGUAUGUGGAUAUGGCUCCCUCACACUUGGCUUAAAUAACGGACAACUUGCAGCUGCAAUUCGUUUCCUCUUCAAAGACAAAACUGGUUGUGGUGCUUCUUUCCAGUAAAAAAAAAACCCACUUCCUGCACAAACAAAAAAAGAAAGUACCAUGGCAUUGGUGAGUGAUCUUAAUCACAUUAACCAAACAAAAUUUGUCUAAGGCUUGAACCUGUGACCCAGAAAUGAACAAAUCAGAAAUGGUGGAAUUCAUCAAAUAAAUAAUCAAAUCUAUACCGAAAGUUGUCUAAGGCAUUAACAUCAUCUCCAUCUCUUAGGACCAAAUUACUAGAAUCUAAAAGUCAAACUAUGAAUUUAAAGAGGAGAACAAUUACAAAGAUACUGAAAUAAAAAGAGGGCAUAUCCAAAACAUACACCAAGUCAAGACAAAUAUAUGCACCAACAGAAGACGACCCCAACCUAGUCUCUAAUAUGUUUACACUCACUACCGUAGGGAUUAAUGACCAGAUCAUUGGAGUAGUCAUUGAAGCUAUGGCAAAGACAAUUCUAAAUCUACCUAAGUCAACAUUUCAACAAUAAGUGGAAAUAGACACAUUUAGGAUGUCAUGACAGUUGCAAAGAAGAUUUUGUUUGGUUAUCAGUUGCAAAGAUUAUCAGUAGUGUUAAAUGGAGCUAAUUGUUAAGGAGAGGCAAAGAGACUAUACCAUUUGAUUCCCUUGCCCAUAACCAUGGGAAUGUUAUGAUUGCUUGCAUAAUUGAAACUGUUAUGAUCAGAGCAUUCAUAUGUUUAAUUCAAAAAGAGGAAUCAUCCGAGAGUUACAAAAAAGGGGUAUCUUUUCAUUUCAGUCAUAUGCAAGAUUUCAAAAGAGACAUAUAAAGGAGAUACACAUCAGAAAUCAUUGGAUGUUGGGAUAUUUUAAUUUCAGUUACACAUUAUCAUUAUCAGCAUCAUUGGUAGUAUUCAUUGUCAGCCUUAAUGCAUUAAAUCAGAAAAUCAAAAGGGUCAUGGCACUUUACAUAUUUUUGGCAAGUCAUAAGGUUUUCACAAACCAACAAAUGACCCAUAACCAGCUAUAAAAGGGGUCGGCACAGAAAACCAGAGGAUACAACAGAGAACAGAUAACACAACAGAGAGACAAAAAGAGAUAUCAUACAUACACACGUAGAAAAAGAGAUUAUUCGAAAAAACCAUAGUGCUGAAAAGAAAGGGUAUACAACUAAAAAAUAACAGAACAGUAAAGAGAAGAUGCACGAUAAGAACAAAGGUAUUCCAAAUGGCAUACCCAUUUAUCUGCAGGUUCAUCCUCUUCUUUACUCAACCAUAUUAGUUUAAUUUCAUUUUUAUUUGUGUUCCUAUCAUUAUGUGUUCAUAAUUAUGACAUAAACCCAGAUCUUUAAUAGAAAAGUAACCAACAUAUAAAUUCAAACACAAAGAAAGAAGAACAUACUUGAAAUGGUUAUGAUAGUUCUAAUAAGAGAAACCUUGACUUUAUUUCCACCAACCUAUUACUAAUGGGUAAAGCAUAACAAAUCCAAAACCAAAGAGUAUAGAACCUUGAGUUUUAUUACAUGUUAUUCUUAUUCCUUACAUACCUAAUCAAAGUAAACACAAC